This 460-nucleotide ribosomal RNA is filed under the name uncultured bacterium. RNAcentral describes it as "SSU rRNA". It matches the Rfam family "Bacterial small subunit ribosomal RNA", at positions 26 to 518 of the family's 1533-position model. The record is from RNAcentral.
AGAACGAACGCUGGCGGCAGGCUUAACACAUGCAAGUCGAGCGCCGUAGCAAUACGGAGCGGCAGACGGGUGAGUAACGCGUGGGAACAUACCCUCCGGUUCGGAAUAACUCAGGGAAACUUGAGCUAAUACCGGAUACGGCAUCUGAGAGAGAUCUCGGCGGCGAAAGAUUUAUCGCCGGAGGAUUGGCCCGCGUCCGAUUAGCUAGUUGGUGUGGUAAUGGCGCACCAAGGCGACGAUCGGUAGCUGGUCUGAGAGGAUGAUCAGCCACAUUGGGACUGAGACACGGCCCAAACUCCUACGGGAGGCAGCAGUGGGGAAUAUUGGACAAUGGGGGAAACCCUGAUCCAGCCAUGCCGCGUGAGUGAUGAAGGCCUUCGGGUUGUAAAACUCUUUCGACGGGGACGAUAAUGACGGUACCCGUAGAAGAAGCUCCGGCUAACUUCGUGCCAGCAGCCGC